GUAGGGAAUAUUGGUUAAUGGGCGAAAGCCCGAACCAGCAACGCCGCGUGUGCGAUGAAGGCCUUCGGGUCGUAAAGCACUUUUAGAGAGGAAGAGGAAGGACGGUACUCUUUGAAUAAGCUUCGGCUAACUACGUGCCAGCAGCCGCGGUAACACGUAGGAAGCGAGCGUUAUCCGGAUUUACUGGGCGUAAAGCGCGUGUAGGCGGUCUGGUUAGUUGGAUGUGAAAGCUCCCGGCUUAACUGGGAGAGGUCGUUCAAUACUGCCAGACUUGAGAGUGGUAGAGGGAGAUGGAAUUCCGGGUGUAGUGGUGAAAUGCGUAGAUAUCCGGAGGAACACCAGUGGCGAAAGCGAUCUCCUGGACCAUUUCUGACGCUCAGACGCGAAAGCUAGGGUAGCAAACGGGAUUAGAUACCCCAGUAGUCC
RNAcentral lists this ribosomal RNA (426 nucleotides) under uncultured bacterium. RNAcentral describes it as "bacterial SSU rRNA". It matches the Rfam family "Bacterial small subunit ribosomal RNA", at positions 354 to 796 of the family's 1533-position model. The record is from RNAcentral.